Sphingobium sp. C100 is the source of this 69-nucleotide regulatory RNA element. It matches the Rfam family "terC RNA". NCBI's taxonomy places the organism in Bacteria, Pseudomonadati, Pseudomonadota, Alphaproteobacteria, Sphingomonadales, Sphingobiaceae. The record is from Rfam.
GUUGCGGGCCGGGCCCCUCUGGCGAUGUGGAUGAUCCCCUGAUCCAUGUCGCGAUGUCGGACCGCAUCG